GAGUUUGAUCCUGGCUCAGGACGAACGCUGGCGGCGCGCCUAAUACAUGCAAGUCGAACGAGAGAGAGGAAGCUUGCUUCCUCAAUCGAGUGGCGAACGGGUGAGUAACGCGUGAGGAACCUGCCUCAAAGAGGGGGACAACAGUUGGAAACGACUGCUAAUACCGCAUAAGCCCACAGCUCGGCAUCGAGCAGAGGGAAAAGGAGCAAUCCGCCUUGAGAUGGCCUCGCGUCCGAUUAGCUGGUUGGUGAGGUAAUGGCCCACCAAGGCGACGAUCGGUAGCCGGACUGAGAGGUUGAACGGCCACAUUGGGACUGAGACACGGCCCAGACUCCUACGGGAGGCAGCAGUGGGGAAUAUUGCACAAUGGGGGAAACCCUGAUGCAGCGACGCCGCGUGGAGGAAGAAGGUCUUCGGAUUGUAAACUCCUGUCGUUGAGGAAGAUAAUGACGGUACUCAACAAGGAAGUGACGGCUAACUACGUGCCACCAGCCGCGGUAAAACGUAGGUCACAAGCGUUGUCCGGAAUUACUGGGUGUAAAGGGAGCGCACGCGGGAACACAACUUGGCAGUGAAAUCUAUGGGCUCACCCCAUAAACUGCUUUCCAAACUGUUUCUCUUGAGUAGUGCAGAGUAGGCGGAAUUCCCGGUGUAGCGGUGGAAUGCGUAGAUAUCGGGAGGAACACCAGUGGCGAAGGCGGCCUACUGGGCACCAACUGACGCUGAGGCUCGAAAGUGUGGGUAGCAAACAGGAUUAGAUACCCUGGUAGUCCACACCGUAAACGAUGAUUACUGGGUGUUGGAGGAUUGACCCCUUCAGUGCCGCAGUUAACACAAUAAGUAAUCCACCUGGGGAGUACGACCGCAAGGUUGAAACUCAAAGGAAUUGACGGGGGCCCGCACAAGCAGUGGAGUAUGUGGUUUAAUUCGACGCAACGCGAAGAACCUUACCAAGUCUUGACAUCCCUUGACGAACAUAGAAAUAUGUUUUCUCUUCGGAGCAAGGAGACAGGUGGUGCAUGGUUGUCGUCAGCUCGUGUCGUGAGAUGUUGGGUUAAGUCCCGCAACGAGCGCAACCCUUACUGUCAGUUACUACGCAAGAGGACUCUGGCAGGACUGCCGUUGACAAAACGGAGGAAGGUGGGGAUGACGUCAAAUCAUCAUGCCCUUUAUGACUUGGGCUACACACGUACUACAAUGGCGUUAAACAAAGAGAAGCAAGACCGCGAGGUGGAGCAAAACUCAGAAACAACGUCCCAGUUCGGACUGCAGGCUGCAACUCGCCUGCACGAAGUCGGAAUUGCUAGUAAUCGUAGAUCAGCACGCCACGGUGAAUACGUUCCCGGGCCUUGUACACACCGCCCGUC
RNAcentral lists this ribosomal RNA (1367 nucleotides) under uncultured bacterium. RNAcentral's name for it is "bacterial SSU rRNA". It matches the Rfam family "Bacterial small subunit ribosomal RNA". The record is from RNAcentral.